RNAcentral lists this ribosomal RNA (689 nucleotides) under uncultured Roseateles sp. Its description in RNAcentral is "bacterial SSU rRNA". It matches the Rfam family "Bacterial small subunit ribosomal RNA", at positions 104 to 789 of the family's 1533-position model. The record is from RNAcentral. Lineage: Bacteria; Pseudomonadati; Pseudomonadota; Betaproteobacteria; Burkholderiales; Sphaerotilaceae.
GGGUGAGUAAUGUAUCGGAACGUGCCCAGUCGUGGGGGAUAACUGCUCGAAAGAGCAGCUAAUACCGCAUACGACCUGAGGGUGAAAGCGGGGGAUCGCAAGACCUCGCGCGAUUGGAGCGGCCGAUAUCAGAUUAGGUAGUUGGUGAGGUAAAGGCUCACCAAGCCGACGAUCUGUAGCUGGUCUGAGAGGACGACCAGCCACACUGGGACUGAGACACGGCCCAGACUCCUACGGGAGGCAGCAGUGGGGAAUUUUGGACAAUGGGCGCAAGCCUGAUCCAGCCAUGCCGCGUGCGGGAAGAAGGCCUUCGGGUUGUAAACCGCUUUUGUCAGGGAAGAAAAGGUUCUGGCUAAUACCUGGGACUCAUGACGGUACCUGAAGAAUAAGCACCGGCUAACUACGUGCCAGCAGCCGCGGUAAUACGUAGGGUGCAAGCGUUAAUCGGAAUUACUGGGCGUAAAGCGUGCGCAGGCGGUUAUGCAAGACAGAGGUGAAAUCCCCGGGCUCAACCUGGGAACUGCCUUUGUGACUGCAUGGCUAGAGUACGGUAGAGGGGGAUGGAAUUCCGCGUGUAGCAGUGAAAUGCGUAGAUAUGCGGAGGAACACCGAUGGCGAAGGCAAUCCCCUGGACCUGUACUGACGCUCAUGCACGAAAGCGUGGGGAGCAAACAGGAUUAGAUACCCUG